CUUAUGGAGCAGAAGCAUUUACGACAAUUGAAUACUGAUAUAUCAUAAAACAAUCAGCAUAACCAGCUGGUAACGGUGUGGGUGCCCAGAGUGUCUUUUUUAACAGCUGGAUUUGACAAUGUUGUUCUUAAGUAUCAAAUCAGCAUUAAGAGAGGGCUCUCAGUCUCAGAAGAUUUCAUACUGACAUUUUUGCAAUACUGGCAAGCUUGAAGUUACCAAUGUGAAUUAAUUUGAAAAAGCUCUUUUAUGAAGCUACAUUGAUCAGAUUGCAAUUUAUGUGGCCCCAGAAUUAGGCCAAAAUAAGAUGUAAU
This is a non-coding RNA of Pelobates cultripes (western spadefoot toad), 311 nucleotides long. The record is from the annotation of a GenBank genome assembly. NCBI's taxonomy places the organism in Eukaryota, Metazoa, Chordata, Amphibia, Anura, Pelobatidae.